AUGUGCUUACUAAGUGUCUUAAUUCCUGAAGU
This 32-nucleotide non-coding RNA is filed under the name Rattus norvegicus (Norway rat). The record is from RNAcentral. Lineage: Eukaryota; Metazoa; Chordata; Mammalia; Rodentia; Muridae.